Molecule: ribosomal RNA, 385 nt
Filed under: uncultured bacterium
Lineage: Bacteria
Description: bacterial SSU rRNA
Rfam family: Bacterial small subunit ribosomal RNA
Source: RNAcentral
GACGAACGCUGGCGGCGUGCUUAACACAUGCAAGUCGAACGGUGAAGCCCUUCGGGGUGGAUCAGUGGCGAACGGGUGAGUAACACGUGAGUAAUCUGCCUCUGACUCUGGGAUAACCACGGGAAACGGUGGCUAAUACCGGAUAUGACACAUGGUCGCAUGGUCUGUGUGUGGAAAGUUUUUCGGUCAGAGAUGAGCUCGCGGCCUAUCAGCUUGUUGGUGGGUAAUGGCCUACCAAGGCGACGACGGGUAGCCGGCCUGAGAGGGCGACCGGCCACACUGGGACUGAGACACGGCCCAGACUCCUACGGGAGGCAGCAGUGGGGAAUAUUGCGCAAUGGGCGAAAGCCUGACGCAGCGACGCCGCGUGAGGGAUGAAGGCCUU